Molecule: non-coding RNA, 407 nt
Organism: Biomphalaria pfeifferi
Lineage: Eukaryota; Metazoa; Mollusca; Gastropoda; Planorbidae
Source: the annotation of a GenBank genome assembly
UUUUGCUAUUUGUUGUUGUUGUUGUUAUUAUUUUAACUCUGAUUUUUUUGCUUGUUCUUCGUACGUUCGACAAACAGGCAACACGCUAACGUAGGCGGUGUUGCGUUAACGAGGACUGCUUAACUCAAAAACAAAUGUGAUCAUAACCAACAUGUUUGAUACCAUCUGACGCCAUUUAGUUACAUUUCAGCCAAUGUCAAUGCUUCAUAUAACUAACUGUAUUUUUUAAAAUGUAUGUGUUUUCUAUUUAUAGAUGAAAUGGUUUGACAGUAAUUCAGGUUAUUUCUCUCACGCUCUAUUCUUAUAUCAAGUUGAAACUUUUCACGAUUAUCCAUUGCCCUAACUACAAGAAUCAAUCAAAAUGUUAAUCAGUUAAUUAAUGAAAGGAAAUAAAUCAUAAAAGUAUU